Molecule: ribosomal RNA, 427 nt
Filed under: uncultured bacterium
Lineage: Bacteria
Description: bacterial SSU rRNA
Rfam family: Bacterial small subunit ribosomal RNA
Source: RNAcentral
UAAGGAAUAUUGGACAAUGGGGGCAACCCUGAUCCAGCCAUGCCGCGUGAGUGAAGAAGGCCCUCGGGUUGUAAAGCUCUUUUGUCCGGAAAGAAAAGCAUUCGGUGAAUACCCGGAUGUUCUGACGGUACCGGAAGAAUAAGCACCGGCUAACUUCGUGCCAGCAGCCGCGGUAAUACGAAGGGUGCAAGCGUUACUCGGAAUUACUGGGCGUAAAGCGUGCGUAGGUGGUUGUUUAAGUCUGAUGUGAAAGCCCUGGGCUCAACCUGGGAAUGGCAUUGGAAACUGGGCAGCUAGAGUGCGGUAGAGGGUAGUGGAAUUCCCGGUGUAGCGGUGAAAUGCGUAGAGAUCGGGAGGAACAUCUGUGGCGAAGGCGACUGCCUGGACCAGCACUGACACUGAGGCACGAAAGCGUGGGGAGCAAACA